UACGUAGGGUGCAAGCGUUGUCCGGAAUUAUUGGGCGUAAAGAGCUCGUAGGCGGUUUGUCGCGUCUGCUGUGAAAACUCGGGGCUUAACUCCGGGCCUGCAGUGGGUACGGGCAGACUAGAGUGCGGUAGGGGAGACUGGAAUUCCUGGUGUAGCGGUGAAAUGCGCGGAUAUCAGGAGGAACACCGGUGGCGAAGGCGGGUCUCUGGGCAGUAACUGACGCUGAGGAGCGAAAGCGUGGGGAGCGAACAGG
RNAcentral lists this ribosomal RNA (253 nucleotides) under uncultured bacterium. RNAcentral's name for it is "partial 16S ribosomal RNA". It matches the Rfam family "Bacterial small subunit ribosomal RNA", at positions 524 to 776 of the family's 1533-position model. The record is from RNAcentral.